GGCUUUGAAGCGUGGACGCCAGUCUGCGUGGAGCCAUCCUUGAAAUACCACCCUGGCAUGCUUGAGGUUCUAACUCUGGUCCGUCAUCCGGAUCGAGGACAGUGUAUGGUGGGCAGUUUGACUGGGGCGGUCUCCUCCUAAAGAGUAACGGAGGAGUACGAAGGUGCGCUCAGACCGGUCGGAAAUCGGUCGUAGAGUAUAAAGGCAAA
This 209-nucleotide ribosomal RNA is filed under the name Pseudomonas sp. ATCC 13867. RNAcentral's name for it is "partial 23S ribosomal RNA". It matches the Rfam family "Bacterial large subunit ribosomal RNA", at positions 2153 to 2361 of the family's 2925-position model. Lineage: Bacteria; Pseudomonadati; Pseudomonadota; Gammaproteobacteria; Pseudomonadales; Pseudomonadaceae. The record is from RNAcentral.